UAACUUCAAAAAUUUACGUACCUGCCUU
This 28-nucleotide small RNA is filed under the name Bombyx mori (domestic silkworm). RNAcentral describes it as "piRNA piR-bmo-2079345". Lineage: Eukaryota; Metazoa; Arthropoda; Insecta; Lepidoptera; Bombycidae. The record is from RNAcentral.